UACGUAGGGACCAAGCGUUGUUCGGAUUUACUGGGCGUCAAGGGCGCGUAGGCGGCGCGGUAAGUCACUUGUGAAAUCUCUGAGCUUAACUCAGAACGGCCAAGUGAUACUGCAGUGCUAGAGUGUGGAAGGGGCAAUCGGAAUUCUUGGUGUAGCGGUGAAAUGCGUAGAUAUCAAGAGGAACACCGGUGGCGAAGGCGGAUCUCUGGGCCGUAACUGACGCUGAGGAGCGAAAGCAUGGGGAGCGAACAGG
RNAcentral lists this ribosomal RNA (253 nucleotides) under uncultured bacterium. RNAcentral describes it as "partial 16S ribosomal RNA". It matches the Rfam family "Bacterial small subunit ribosomal RNA", at positions 524 to 776 of the family's 1533-position model. The record is from RNAcentral.